AUGGAGCGACAUGCAGUAAACAGCAAUACCUCACCACAGAAUACUGGUUUAGAGAGUGGACAGAUUCUGCAGCAGGAAAGGGGUUAUGCCUUGAUGUUUCAAGUCAGUAGAGGCCUGUUAAAUCACACCAAAUGACAACAAAUCAUUGUCCAAGCUGUCCCUGAGGGACAAGGCUAAACCAUCCUACAAGUAUCUAUGUUUGGGACACAGCCUUGUAGCAGAUAUAGUUGGUCUUGUGGAAAUAGAUCGAGGUCUGGGGGAAAAAAAGUGGAGGAUAGAGAUACAGAGGGAAAGACUUUACAGGUUCAGGGCCAACAAGACCAGACUCAGAAGAUUGUCAUCCAGCACGUGCAGACAGCCCUCACCACCAGCCAGACACACAAAGAAGCAGAUUGCUAUCCAAGGGCAGCAAGUAGGACAGAUCAUGGUCUACCAGCCAGUUAAUGCAGAUGGCAACAUUCUCCAGCGAGUCACAGCCACCAUCUCAGCAGCCACUUUGACAGUGGCAUAGACUUUUCAGACAGCAAGCCAAUACCAACACAACCAGCAGUGGGCAAGGAACCAUCACUGUAACACUACCAGUGGCAGAUUAUGUGGUCACUUAAGGAGAGACAGUCAUGAUGGUGCCUGGGCUGUCUCUGUGACUGCCACCCAAAGAAUCUCUCACCUGGAACAGAGAUAGAAAGACAGCCUCCCAAUGUGAAUGUGGAUAACAACUAGUGACAUCAUCUUUGUUAAGAGGAUGUAAGCCUGGGCUGAACUAGAGGUACAAGGAACAUUCCUAAGGGAAAAAAAAAAAAAAAUAUAUAUAUAUAUAUAUAUAUAUAUAUAUAUAUCUGCAUAAUUCGUGGUAUGGCAUAAAAGUGUGGCAGAGUUGAAUGUUUUUUUUUCCCAAAAUAAAAGAAUAGUCUCCAUAUGCAGGUUGCAGACCAAGUAAAUGCAGCAGCAAUGGCAUGCAGAAUUUGAGUGUUC
Molecule: long non-coding RNA, 972 nt
Filed under: Homo sapiens (human)
Lineage: Eukaryota; Metazoa; Chordata; Mammalia; Primates; Hominidae
Description: non-protein coding LINC00355:8
Source: RNAcentral